UCGAACGGCAGCACGGAGCUUGCUCUGGUGGCGAGUGGCGAACGGGUGAGUAAUAUAUCGGAACGUACCCUAGAGUGGGGGAUAACGUAGCGAAAGUUACGCUAAUACCGCAUACGAUCUAAGGAUGAAAGUGGGGGAUCGCAAGACCUCAUGCUCGUGGAGCGGCCGAUAUCUGAUUAGCUAGUUGGUAGGGUAAAAGCCUACCAAGGCAUCGAUCAGUAGCUGGUCUGAGAGGACGACCAGCCACACUGGAACUGAGACACGGUCCAGACUCCUACGGGAGGCAGCAGUGGGGAAUUUUGGACAAUGGGCGAAAGCCUGAUCCAGCAAUGCCGCGUGAGUGAAGAAGGCCUUCGGGUUGUAAAGCUCUUUUGUCAGGGAAGAAACGGUGAGAGCUAAUAUCUCUUGCUAAUGACGGUACCUGAAGAAUAAGCACCGGCUAACUACGUGCCAGCAGCCGCGGUAAUACGUAGGGUGCAAGCGUUAAUCGGAAUUACUGGGCGUAAAGCGUGCGCAGGCGGUUUUGUAAGUCUGAUGUGAAAUCCCCGGGCUCAACCUGGGAAUUGCAUUGGAGACUGCAAGGCUAGAAUCUGGCAGAGGGGGGUAGAAUUCCACGUGUAGCAGUGAAAUGCGUAGAUAUGUGGAGGAACACCGAUGGCGAAGGCAGCCCCCUGGGUCAAGAUUGACGCUCAUGCACGAAAGCGUGGGGAGCAAACAGGAUUAGAUACCCUGGUAGUCCACGCCCUAAACGAUGUCUACUAGUUGUCGGGUCUUAAUUGACUUGGUAACGCAGCUAACGCGUGAAGUAGACCGCCUGGGGAGUACGGUCGCAAGAUUAAAACUCAAGGAAUUGACGGGGACCCGCACAAGCGGUGGAUGAUGU
This 883-nucleotide ribosomal RNA is filed under the name Janthinobacterium sp. UA-V10070. RNAcentral describes it as "bacterial SSU rRNA". It matches the Rfam family "Bacterial small subunit ribosomal RNA", at positions 62 to 942 of the family's 1533-position model. Lineage: Bacteria; Pseudomonadati; Pseudomonadota; Betaproteobacteria; Burkholderiales; Oxalobacteraceae. The record is from RNAcentral.